Molecule: ribosomal RNA, 447 nt
Filed under: uncultured Sphingobacteriales bacterium
Lineage: Bacteria; Pseudomonadati; Bacteroidota; Sphingobacteriia; Sphingobacteriales
Description: bacterial SSU rRNA
Rfam family: Bacterial small subunit ribosomal RNA
Source: RNAcentral
AGCAUGUGGUUUAAUUCGAUGAUACGCGAGGAACCUUACCUGGGCGUCGAACGUAAGAUGACUGUAGGUGAAAGCUUACAUCUCUUCGGAGCAUUUUACGAGGUGCUGCAUGGUUGUCGUCAGCUCGUGCCGUGAGGUGUCGGGUUAAGUCCCAUAACGAGCGCAACCCCUACCUUUAGUUGCCAUCAGGUUAAGCUGGGGACUCUAAAGGAACUGCCUACGCAAGUAGUGAGGAAGGCGGGGAUGACGUCAAAUCAGCACGGCCCUUACGUCCAGGGCUACACACGUGCUACAAUGGCCGAUACAGAGGGCAGCUACCUGGUGACAGGAUGCAAAUCUCCAAAGUCGGUCUCAGUUCGGAUCGGAGUCUGCAACCCGACUCCGUGAAGUUGGAUUCGCUAGUAAUCGCGCAUCAGCCAUGGCGCGGUGAAUACGUUCCCGGGCCUU